RNAcentral lists this ribosomal RNA (433 nucleotides) under uncultured bacterium. RNAcentral's name for it is "partial 16S ribosomal RNA". It matches the Rfam family "Bacterial small subunit ribosomal RNA", at positions 29 to 507 of the family's 1533-position model. The record is from RNAcentral.
AACGAACGCUGGCGGCAUGCCUAACACAUGCAAGUCGAACGAGACCUUCGGGUCUAGUGGCGCACGGGUGCGUAACGCGUGGGAACCUGCCCUUAGGUUCGGAAUAACUCCCCGAAAGGGGUGCUAAUACCGGCUAAUGUCUUCGGACCAAAGAUUUAUCGCCUUUGGAUGGGCCCGCGUUGGAUUAGCUAGUUGGUAGGGUAAAAGCCUACCAAGGCGACGAUCCAUAGCUGGUCUGAGAGGAUGAUCAGCCACACUGGGAGUGAGACACGGCCCAGACUCCUACGGGAGGCAGCAGUGGGGAAUAUUGGAAAAUGGGCGAAAGCCUGAUCCAGCAAUGCCGCGUGAGUGAUGAAGGCCUUAGGGUUGUAAAGCUCUUUUACCCGGGAUGAUAAUGACAGUACCGGGAGAAUAAGCUCCGGCUAACUCCGUG